UACGAAGGGGGCUAGCGUUGUUCGGAAUUACUGGGCGUAAAGGGCGCGUAGGUGGUUAUGUGCGUUAGAUGUGAAAUCCCCGGGCUUAACCUGGGAAUGGCAUUUAAUACUGCAUAUCUAAGAGUGCGAGAGGGGAAAGCGGAAUGGCGAGUGGAGCAGUGAAAUGCAUUGAGAUUCGCUAGAACACCAGAGGCGAAGGCGGCUUUCUGGCUCGUUACUGACACUAAAGCGCGAAAGCGUGGGGAGCAAACAGG
RNAcentral lists this ribosomal RNA (254 nucleotides) under uncultured bacterium. RNAcentral describes it as "partial 16S ribosomal RNA". It matches the Rfam family "Bacterial small subunit ribosomal RNA", at positions 524 to 776 of the family's 1533-position model. The record is from RNAcentral.